GAUGAACGCUAGCUACAGGCUUAACACAUGCAAGUCGAGGGGAAACGACAUCGAAAGCUUGCUUUUGAUGGGCGUCGACCGGCGCACGGGUGAGUAACGCGUAUCCAACCUGCCCACCACUUGGGGAUAACCUUGCGAAAGUAAGACUAAUACCCAAUGACGUCUCUAGAAGACAUCUGAAAGAGAUUAAAGAUUUAUCGGUGAUGGAUGGGGAUGCGUCUGAUUAGCUUGUUGGCGGGGUAACGGCCCACCAAGGCGACGAUCAGUAGGGGUUCUGAGAGGAAGGUCCCCCCACAUUGGAACUGAGACACGGUCCAAACUCCUACGGGAGGCAGCAGUGAGGAAUAUUGGUCAAUGGGCGAGAGCCUGAACCAGCCAAGUAGCGUGCAGGAAGACGGCCCUAUGGGUUGUAAACUGCUUUAUAAGGGAAUAAAGUGAGCCUCGUGAGGCUUUUUGCAUGUACCUUAUGAAUAAGGACCGGCUAAUUCCGUG
RNAcentral lists this ribosomal RNA (492 nucleotides) under uncultured bacterium. Its description in RNAcentral is "bacterial SSU rRNA". It matches the Rfam family "Bacterial small subunit ribosomal RNA", at positions 28 to 507 of the family's 1533-position model. The record is from RNAcentral.